This 1231-nucleotide long non-coding RNA is filed under the name Phoenix dactylifera (date palm). RNAcentral describes it as "long non-coding RNA (PDAC_LNC005838)". Lineage: Eukaryota; Viridiplantae; Streptophyta; Magnoliopsida; Arecales; Arecaceae. The record is from RNAcentral.
UAAAACCCCAAACCAAGGAGAAGGCGGACAUCGCCGCCGCUUCUCCUUCUCCUCCUCCCAAAUUAUCUCUCUCGGUAGGAAUUCGAUCUCCAUUUCACCGCAAACCCUCGACUUCUUGGUCUGCAUCUUCUUUUUUUCUCUGGAUUUUUUGGGGGUUUGAGGUGGAGCGGAGGACGAGAGAUGAAUUUUAAGAACGCCAAGGUUCCGAAUAUCUCCGGUGCCGGCUCGGCGGCGACGCUCAUCAAGGUGGCGCUCGUCGGGGGCACCGGCGUCAUCCUUAGUUCUUCACUAUUUCCGUCCUCCUUAGUUCUUCACUUCUUCCGUCCUUCGCCCGUUCGCUAUCAGCCCGUCCUCGGGUCUCACAAUCUCACUUCGCCCGUUUGCCAGUUGCCACUCGCCGUCCUCCCCGUCGGUACUCGGCCGAAGAGAGAGACGAGGGAUCAGGAAGGCGGCGUCGCCGGCGUCAUGGCGUGACGGCGUCUCUUCUCCUUUUCGGCCCUCCGCCCUUUCCAGCCUCCAGGUGGCAGGUGCUCUUCAGAUAUUUCUCUGUAAAGACUUCGGUACAUGCUUUCCUCAUUGUGCUACAUUAACUCAAGUUCCUUAUUAACUUGUUUCGUGUUUAUGAAGCUCAAGGUUUUUUUUUUUUUUUUGGAAUUUCAUAUUCAUGUACUGGUGGUAUCAGAAUGCCUGUUGGUCUCUUUUUAGAUUCAUAAUUUUCCUCCAAUCCGCUGUACCUUCUGUUGCAACUUGAUGGUUUCCUGGAUUUCAUAACAAUGUGCAUUGAUGAUUUAUAUGCUUCAGAUUUGCAAAACCAACGCUUAUUGAAUUAUUAUUUGGGUGUCAGAUGUGCAGGGAAGACUUCUUUCUGAAACAGCCAAAUAACUAAACGAUCACCUUGAAUCAUAACGCUUCACCUAACACUCUAUAAAUGUCAAGGGAUCUUGAUUUGGAGCUUGUUAUCUGUUAAGUUGUUAUCCCCGUUUAGUAGUUUUGAUGGCACGCCAUCUGUUUGAUAGUUUGACUGGGAGGACUUGAAGCUUGUUAUCUGUUAAGCUGUUAUCCCCGUUUAGUAGUUUUGAUGGCACGCCAUCUGUUUGACAGUUUGACUGUGAGAAUUUGGAGCUUGUUAUCUGUUAAGCUGUUAUCCCCGUUUAGUAGUUUUGAUGGCACGCCAUCGGUUUGACUGUUUGACUGUGAGGAUUUGGAGCUUGUAUGAACAUGUGAAUGUGAU